AAAAAACAUUUUUAAAUUUUUAAAAAGAAAUAAAAAUACUUUUCAAUAUAGGGUCGUUUCCACACCUAGCGUGAGUCGACACUUAUCGUAGGUUUUAAAUACUAACAUAAGUUUUGCACAAAGUAGUAAUUAUUUUUUUUUAAAUAUGUAUUUUGUUUAUCAACAACAUCGUCAUGCAAUUCAUAGAAACCGCAAUACAUAGUUACUUAUAUAAACUCAGUGGGCUUAUUACGUCAGCGUAUGAAAAAACGUUUUUUUUAAGUAUCAGCUGUUAGAAGCGUUUCAAAUAAAACAAGAUAAUUUAAGAAGAUAAGAUAAAAUUUUAUUUCUAAAUUGAUUUAAUAAGAUUCUUUUCCAAUGGCAAGACAAAAAUAUAAGACAAAAGUUUGUAGCUCAAAACGAAGACUUCAAUAUACAGAUAGCCAAUUAAGAGAUGCUAUUAAUGCUGUUAAAAAAGGUAUGGUUGUGUACUAAGCAAGCAAGACGUUUGGAAUUCCUUAUCAGACGCUUCGUGAUAAAAUAUCUGGAAAAAUUUCUCUGAAGAUACAACACUGAGGUUAUGAAUCGGUACUAGGUGAACACUUUGAAAAUGAAUUAGUCGAGUGGUUUCUAACAUGUACCAGAAUGGGAUUUGCCAUGUCUGUAGUAUAGCUAUUAGAUACUGUGCAAAAAUACUUGAAUUCUAACAAUAUAAAAACACAAUUUACUAACAACCGUCCUGCAAAAGGUUGAUUUUAUGCAUUUCUUCGCCGUCACAAAGUUAUCUCAAAAACGAGGUGAAUACUUAAACUGAGCUAGAGGAGGAGUAACUGAAAAAGCCAUGAGAGAUUGGUUUCGCUCCACCAUAAACAAUUUUUAAAUAUGUUCGUCUUCCAAAUAGAAUUAUAAAUACUGCUCCAUCAGGAUGGGGUAUUGGAAAAAGUGAAAAUGGUUGGAUGACCCCAGAAUGAGUAUAGUACAAACAUUUUUCAUCUAUUUUUGAUAAAAGAAGAAAUUCCUUUACCAGUUAUUUUUUAUUUUUUGAUGGCCAUGCGUCACAUUUUUCUAUCGAACUAUCGAUGUGGCAGUUUUUGGGCCAAUGAAAGCAAAGUGGAAAUCUUUAUGCCGACAAUAGCGCAUUGACCAUGAAGGACAAGAAAUAAACAAUGAAAAUGUGCCAGAAGCAUUAAAUUCAUUUAUAAUUGAUCUUUCUAUGGCAAAUAAUGUUAAAAGUGGUUUUAAAAAUAUCGGAAUAUUUCCAUUUGAUGUUAUAGUGUGGACUACACAAAAAUUCUUCAAAGACUAUCUGAGUCAACUGUGGCUCCGACUCCUUAUUUAGAAGAGAAUCAAUCAAGUGUGGCUUUAUCAGCUUCUUCUCCCAUAAACUUUAUUGAAAACUUCAUUGAUUCAAGUAUUUUAGAGCAGUUUAAAAUAGCUGACAAACAUUUAGGCUAGAAAGGUGACCUUGAAUAUCUCCAGCUGUAUCUGUUUUGGAAAAGAGCCUCAUCUGAAACAUAUAAGAUUUCACCUGAUGAAAUACAACAGAGUAAUAAAAAUCUAUUAACAACUUGUAAUUUAGAAAAUGUGCAAAUUAUAACCAGUAUGGAAAUACUUGAUUGUAAUAUUGCAGCGGAUAUAGAACCAAAACCAGCUUGUUCUAGUUUGAAAAUAGCAGCAGAAAUCAUAAGUCCAAUUGAAAGUGUUUUAAUAUGGCCAAAACAACAAGUCCAAACGUCCAAGCGCAAAAUAGAUCGUUUACCAUCGGUUGUAACAUCUGAAACGUGGGAGCAAAUUCAAAAGACAAAAUUGCAAGAAAAGUCACAAAUAAACGAUGAAAAAUUAAGAAAGAAACAAUUAGCUGCAGAUAAAAAGUCAAAUAUAGAAGAAGAUAGAUUAAGAAAGAAGCAAAUGGCUAUGGAGAAAAAGUUAUUAAAUGAAAAAACUAUAAAAGAAAGAGAAAACAUGAAAAUUUUGAAAAAGGAAAAUUAAGCCGCAAAAGAAAAAUGUCUGGUGGAAGUAUAGCUGCAUCUUUUGUUUCAAAUGAAAAUGGUGAGGUUAUGCUAUUUUUUUUUUUAAAUAAUUGCAAAUGUAUAAUUUUUAUUAUAUUCUUCUAUUAGUAAAUUAAGAUUCCUCAUCAUUCGAAGAAUACAAAAAUUACCGCUCCCAACACCCGGGACCUCUAUCAGAGAGGUCCUUCAAAAAAUGGAAAGAUCAUGGCGGAUUGGACGAGCCCUCCUUUAAAUGGAGGGUUCAUCCAUACCGGGGUGUUGGGAGACACCGAAGAAAAAACAGCAACCAAAAGGUUGUAAAUGUCUUCUAUCAGUAGAGAUAUUUAUGACUUUUUAGUUGCUGCUUUUUCUUCGGUUUUUUAAUUUUUUGAUUCGGUGUUUUUUUUUUU
Molecule: long non-coding RNA, 2377 nt
Organism: Hydra vulgaris (swiftwater hydra)
Lineage: Eukaryota; Metazoa; Cnidaria; Hydrozoa; Anthoathecata; Hydridae
Source: RefSeq, a predicted model, not a curated record